RNAcentral lists this ribosomal RNA (465 nucleotides) under Vreelandella stevensii. RNAcentral describes it as "partial 16S ribosomal RNA". It matches the Rfam family "Bacterial small subunit ribosomal RNA", at positions 338 to 795 of the family's 1533-position model. The record is from RNAcentral. Lineage: Bacteria; Pseudomonadati; Pseudomonadota; Gammaproteobacteria; Oceanospirillales; Halomonadaceae.
CCUACGGGAGGCAGCAGUGGGGAAUAUUGGACAAUGGGCGAAAGCCUGAUCCAGCCAUGCCGCGUGUGUGAAGAAGGCCUUCGGGUUGUAAAGCACUUUCAGUGGGGAAGAAAGCCUUGGGGCUAAUACCCUCGAGGAAGGACAUCACCCACAGAAGAAGCACCAGCUAACUCCGUGCCAGCAGCCGCGGUAAUACGGAGGGUGCGAGCGUUAAUCGGAAUUACUGGGCGUAAAGCGCGCGUAGGCGGUCUGAUAAGCCGGUUGUGAAAGCCCCGGGCUCAACCUGGGAACGGCAUCCGGAACUGUCAGGCUAGAGUGCAGGAGAGGAAGGUAGAAUUCCCGGUGUAGCGGUGAAAUGCGUAGAGAUCGGGAGGAAUACCAGUGGCGAAGGCGGCCUUCUGGACUGACACUGACGCUGAGGUGCGAAAGCGUGGGUAGCAAACAGGAUUAGAUACCCUUGUAGUC